This 245-nucleotide long non-coding RNA is filed under the name Brassica napus (rape). RNAcentral describes it as "long non-coding RNA (BNAP_LNC016734)". The record is from RNAcentral. Lineage: Eukaryota; Viridiplantae; Streptophyta; Magnoliopsida; Brassicales; Brassicaceae.
ACUUAAUUGUGUCGAUCGACAUCAACCAUCAGCGGGAAGGUAUAUCGUUUUACCUUGUUACAUAGUGUACUUAUGAUUUAUUUCUCACCAACCUUCGAACAGAUACACACUGGGGACGGUGUAAUUUAAUUUUGGGAGGAGGUUUACUGAUAUCUAGUUUACUUUAUGAGUUUUACAAAAUGUUUUUCAAGAAAAAUUUUAUUGAGUCAAGAAGGGGAUAAUGAACUUUACAAUUUCACUUAUUA